GACGAACGCUGGCGGCGCGCUUAACACAUGCCAGUCGAACGGAAAGGCCUGCUUUCCCUUGUGGAUUGCGGGUACUCGAGUGGCGAACGGGUGAGUAACACGUGAGUGAUCUGCCCCCAACUUGGGUAUAAGCCUGGGAAACUGGGUCUAAUUCCCGAUAGGACUGCAGGGUGGUGCCUGUGGUGGAAAACGAUUUUCUAGUGGUUGGGGAUGAGCUCGCGGCCUAUCAGCUUGUUGGUGGGGUAAUGGCCUACCAAGGCGGCGACGGGUAGCCGGCCUGGGAGGUGGGCCGGCCCAUUUGGGCUGGGAUUCCGGCCCGGCCCCCUCCGGGGGGCGGAGGUGGGGAUGAUUGCCCAAGGGGGGGAGGCUGGUGGAGGCACCGCCGCGUGGGGGAGGCGGGCCUUCGGGUUGUAACUCCUUUCGACCGCGAGGAAGCCACCUGGUUGGAAGGGUGGUGACGGUAGUGGUAGAAGAAGCACCGGCUAACUACGUG
This 493-nucleotide ribosomal RNA is filed under the name uncultured bacterium. RNAcentral's name for it is "partial 16S ribosomal RNA". It matches the Rfam family "Bacterial small subunit ribosomal RNA", at positions 28 to 507 of the family's 1533-position model. The record is from RNAcentral.